Non-coding RNA from Zootermopsis nevadensis, 981 nucleotides. The record is from RefSeq and is a predicted model, not a curated record. NCBI's taxonomy places the organism in Eukaryota, Metazoa, Arthropoda, Insecta, Blattodea, Termopsidae.
AUUCUUGCUACGGCGGAUCCAGCAACUGAUCGAGUAUUCGUGCGUUUCAGUCAGUUGACAGUGGUUUGUGGGUGUUCUCGAUCUUUGAGGUUAGGGCAGGAGAAUCCAAGUUCGGAUGGCGUAGAUUCGAAACAGGAAUGGACAGAAAUGCAGGACUUACAAAGAACAAAUCAUGGAAUGUUCUUUGCAUUCGUCUUACCGUAAUUACCUGCUUUGAUUAACGCAGCAGUUCUGAGUAAAAGACACGAAAGGACAUCUGUAGGGCGGAGGUAACAUCACCAUAUCAAUGAUUUGCUGUUUUUCACUUGGAGUGACGUCUCCCUUAUAUUCAUGGAGCACGUUACAACACCUAACUCUUUGAACGAAUGAACGACAUAAGGCGACUCUCAGAACAGCCUUCCACAGUGACGCAUCUCGUCUCGUGUCGGCCGGAAUGGAACAAAAGUUUAUAAUAAUUACUCAUCAUUCUACCGUUCGACAUAACCGAGGCAGUUGAAACAGCGUCGUUUCGUAAGUAAAGAAUCAAUUGGCUCUCGAUUCGACAUAAUCCAGGUAAUCAAAACAGCGUCGAUAGGCAAAUCAAGAAUCGACGGGCCCUCAAUUCGAGAAAAUCGAAGUAAACGAAACAGCGUCGAUAGGCAAAUCAAGAAUCGACGGGCCUUCCAUUCGAGAAAAUCGAAGAAAGCAACCGCUUCGUUAAGGAGAUCAAGAAUCGAUUUUCCGCCAAUCAGACGCUUCUAUCCCUCCAGUACAAACAGAGCCAUGAACCACGGUGUUGUAGAAAGUACUUACACAUGCCUGCCAGCCCACACCCAUUGCAACGCGCCAAAUUCAUCGCGUGUGAGUCGUAAUUACAUCUAUAGAAACAUGAAGAAUCAUAGCGUGGGUUUGGGGUUUCAACCCGUGAUUUGCACGGUUAAAUCAGACGUUACAGUCAUCUACUACCAGACUGAAGUAUUGAGAACUCUUAACACACAACAC